This is a long non-coding RNA of Piliocolobus tephrosceles (Ugandan red Colobus), 757 nucleotides long. RefSeq lists it as uncharacterized. The record is from RefSeq and is a predicted model, not a curated record. NCBI's taxonomy places the organism in Eukaryota, Metazoa, Chordata, Mammalia, Primates, Cercopithecidae. The transcript is spliced from 2 exons.
GUAAAUAAUAGCAUUCAAGGUAUAUAUAUGUAUUGGCGAAUAUGUUAUAUCUUAUGUAUACAUAUAUGUAUAUAUAUUUAUACAUGUUUAAUAAUUAUUCUAUAUUUUGUUUAAGAAAAGCUGUUGUAUGUUUCUAUUUGUUACAAUAUAAAAAAUAAUUUCUGUUAACUCGUCUAGGGGUAUAUAUAUUUAUGCUCAUUUUUAACAUAACUAUGAUAACACAGCGAGUGACUGGAAAAAACGAAAGCAAUAAAAAAAAAAUGAAAAAAAUGAAAAACAAUGAAAAUAAUGAAAACAAUGAAGACAAUUAAAAAAUGAAAGUUCAUGACUUCUAAAACAAAGUAAGCAUAUUAAAGUGUAAGGAAACAUUUUUUUACUUGUAUGAUGGUAAAAACCUUAGAAAAACCUUAUUGCUUUGACUCAAUAAAAUGUGUUUAUCAAUGCAUAACACACAAAAAGAAAAAAAAAAUAUGUAAAUGUAGAUAAAAAAAUGUUUAUCAUGAACAUUGGUAUUAGUAUUAUAAUGUAACAGUUGUCUAAUAGCAGUAAAAUAUCUUAAAAAUAAAUUUAUAGCGAAAGAAUAUAUAUAUAUAUAUAUAUCGAUAUAUAAUGUAAAUUGAUGCUCACAUUUCACUCAGUCUUAAUAUAUUUCCAUUUCGUUUAAGAAUGAAAAAAUAGGCGCAUAAAUAUGCAGAAAGAUGAAAAAAAAAAAAAAAAUUAUUAAUUUAUAAUAAAACUGGAAACUAAAGACAUAAUA